RNAcentral lists this ribosomal RNA (433 nucleotides) under uncultured bacterium. RNAcentral describes it as "partial 16S ribosomal RNA". It matches the Rfam family "Bacterial small subunit ribosomal RNA", at positions 29 to 507 of the family's 1533-position model. The record is from RNAcentral.
AACGAACGCUGGCGGCAUGCCUAAUACAUGCAAGUCGAACGAGAUCUUCGGAUCUAGUGGCGCACGGGUGCGUAACGCGUGGGAAUCUGCCCUUGGGUUCGGAAUAACUUCUGGAAACGGAAGCUAAUACCGGAUGAUGACGUAAGUCCAAAGAUUUAUCGCCCAAGGAUGAGCCCGCGUAGGAUUAGGUAGUUGGUGAGGUAAAGGCUCACCAAGCCGACGAUCCUUAGCUGGUCUGAGAGGAUGAUCAGCCACACUGGGACUGAGACACGGCCCAGACUCCUACGGGAGGCAGCAGUAGGGAAUAUUGGACAAUGGGCGAAAGCCUGAUCCAGCAAUGCCGCGUGAGUGAUGAAGGCCUUAGGGUUGUAAAGCUCCUUUACCCGGGAUGAUAAUGACAGUACCGGGAGAAUAAGCUCCGGCUAACUCCGUG